Molecule: transfer RNA, 73 nt
Organism: Smittium culicis
Lineage: Eukaryota; Fungi; Kickxellomycota; Harpellomycetes; Harpellales; Legeriomycetaceae
Rfam family: tRNA
About the family: Transfer RNA (tRNA) molecules are approximately 80 nucleotides in length. Their secondary structure includes four short double-helical elements and three loops (D, anti-codon, and T loops).
Source: Rfam
CGGAUAGUAGCGUAAUAGGUAACGCAUCUGGUUUGGGACUGGAGGAUUAUAAGUUCAAAUCUUAUCUAUCCGA